RNAcentral lists this ribosomal RNA (470 nucleotides) under uncultured bacterium. RNAcentral describes it as "partial 16S ribosomal RNA". It matches the Rfam family "Bacterial small subunit ribosomal RNA", at positions 328 to 794 of the family's 1533-position model. The record is from RNAcentral.
UGCCCAGACUCCUACGGGAGGCAGCAGUGAGGAAUAUUGGUCAAUGGGCGGAAGCCUGAACCAGCCAAGUCGCGUGAGGGAAGAAGGCCCUGCGGGUCGCAGACCUCUUUGGACGGGGAGCAAGGCCGCCGACGUGUCGGCGGAAGGAGAGUACCCGUAGAACAAGCAUCGGCUAACUCCGUGCCAGCAGCCGCGGUAAUACGUAGGGGGCAAGCGUUAUCCGGAUUUACUGGGUGUAAAGGGAGCGUAGACGGAAAGGCAAGUCAGAAGUGAAAGCCCGUGGCUCAACCGCGGAACUGCUUUGGAAACUGUUAAGCUGGAGUACUGGAGAGGCAAGCGGAAUUCCUAGUGUAGCGGUGAAAUGCGUAGAUAUUAGGAGGAACACCAGUGGCGAAGGCGGCCUGCUGGACGACAACUGACGGUGAGGCGCGAAAGCGUGGGGAGCAAACAGGAUUAGAUACCCCUGUAGC